RNAcentral lists this microRNA precursor (64 nucleotides) under Sorex araneus (European shrew). RNAcentral describes it as "miRNA (ENSSARG00000018687.1)". The record is from RNAcentral. Lineage: Eukaryota; Metazoa; Chordata; Mammalia; Eulipotyphla; Soricidae.
CCUGGUGGUCUAGUGAUUAGGAUUCGGGUCUCUCACUGUGGCGGCCCGGGUUCGAUUCCCAGUC